This 450-nucleotide ribosomal RNA is filed under the name uncultured bacterium. RNAcentral's name for it is "partial 16S ribosomal RNA". It matches the Rfam family "Bacterial small subunit ribosomal RNA", at positions 338 to 795 of the family's 1533-position model. The record is from RNAcentral.
CCUACGGGGGGCUGCAGUGAGGAAUAUUGCGCAAUGGCCGAAAGGCUGACGCAGCGACGCCGCGUGAGGGAUGAAGUCCGUUAGGAUGUAAACCUCUUUUGCAGGGGAUGAAUGUCUCGCUAUACGCGGGAUUGACCGUACCCUGCGAAUAAGGAUCGGCUAACUACGUGCCAGCAGCCGCGGUAAUACGUAGGAUCCGAGCGUUGUACGGGGUUACUGGGGGUAAAGGGUGGGUAGGUGGGUUCCUGGUGAAAUCCCGCAGCUUAACUGCGGAAUUGCCUUCGAUACUGGGGAUCUUGAGUACGGCAGAGGGAGAUGGAAGUCAUGGUGUAGCGGUGAAAUGUGUAGAUAUCAUGAAGAACACCGGUAGCGAAGGCGGUCUCCUGGUCCGUAACUGACACUGAUGCGCGAAAGCGUGGGGAGCGAACAGGAUUAGAUACCCUUGUAGUC